This is a long non-coding RNA of Etheostoma spectabile (orangethroat darter), 93 nucleotides long. RefSeq lists it as uncharacterized. The transcript has 4 exons. NCBI's taxonomy places the organism in Eukaryota, Metazoa, Chordata, Actinopteri, Perciformes, Percidae. The record is from RefSeq and is a predicted model, not a curated record.
CACAUAAAUACAUUUUGCUCAAAGUGUAAGGAGAUUUGUGUUUGGUUGAUUAUUUCUCUGUGGUAACAAUGCUUUUUGGCAAUAAAUCUUAUA